Meleagris gallopavo (turkey) is the source of this 4157-nucleotide non-coding RNA. The record is from RefSeq and is a predicted model, not a curated record. Lineage: Eukaryota; Metazoa; Chordata; Aves; Galliformes; Phasianidae.
UUGGUGGAGCAGGGAAGGCGUGAAGGGGACAACAGAACUGCUGGCUUGAGACAUGACGAGGGGAAAGGUCUAAAUGACUCCCUGCAUUGAGGGGGCUCUGGGUCCCAUGGGUCUAUUGGUAGACAGAAGAGGACGCAAUGAGGCAGAUGCAGUGCCCCUGGUGCUUGUUGUAUACUUGGCCUCCAGAGGCUCUUGUUUGCAAACAACAUCUGUCUUUUGCACUACUUCGGCACUUCUGCCAGCCAGAGUCCGCCCCUGUGGCUUCCCUGUGACAUCUGCUUCCACCUGGCCCAAGCUGCCAUGAGCAGGUGCCCAGAGGAAGAGGACAAACAACCGCACAAGGUGGCUGUGGCAUUGCUCACACACAUGCAUAGCUCAGGAUGGAGUGUUACUUUUCCAGCUGAGGUACCCCUGGAUGGGAAGUGAGGAAUACAAACAGUGAAGAGAUGUUGUUCCAAAUGCAAAAGGAGAUGGGCCACAGAAGACCUGAGAGUGUGAAGAGAAACCCAGAUGAACAAAGGAAGAAAGAGAUAAGGCUAAAGGUCUGGCACUGAUAUCUGAAAGACAGUAGUGGCUGAAUUACAAGUAUAUGAGCCUACCCAGGAGCAGGCACACAGCAGAUCUGCAGGAUUUGUGCUCUUCUGAACUCUGGGCAAAAACUUAGGAACCAGAUUAGUAACAACUUGUGCUGAUGUUUGCAUAGGUUUUUCUCUACUCUGAGACAUCAAGACUCAAAAGAUGUGGCUGUCUGCUAUGUAGUAGAGAAGAGGAACCUCUGUGUGGCAACUGUAUCCCAAAACAAUCCCUGUCCAGGAAGAGUGUUCCUUUGAGUGCACUCAGCAGCAUCAGAGCUACUUUGUGCAAGUGGAGAGGUGUGAAAUAUCAGCAAACGUAAGGGACAAGGGGAUGAUGAGGGUUAGCCUAUUGCAAUGUAAAAUUGAUGAAGUGCUAUCCCAGGAAACCAAACUGGACCAAGAUACAAUGGGGACAACAGCUCACACAUGCAGUCGACAAGAAAAAUGAGAAAUCUGUCAUUGUGAUGGAAUCCCUACAAACUUAGUAUGGUGAAAUUUGUCUUCAGCUACUCCCUCCCUGGCUUUGAAAGCAUCAGCCAGCAAAUGGUGGGCAUCUCUUCUUAGAUGUUCAACAGAACCUGUGCGCAGUACAGGCACUGAGCUAACAAAAAACAUGAUAGAUUUAAGUGUCACAAGAGAGCAAGGAAAAAUCCAGAUCGGGGCUUUCUAGGCUUUGUUUCUUUUAUGCACGCUGGAACAAGGAAAUAUAUCAAUAUGGAAGUUUAGAAAUGGUUUGAGGUUUCGCAGAACUUGCAUCAGAGUGGCCUUGUGCCUUCACAAAGGUCACAUGGUGAAGUGCUAGUUUCAGGCAGCAUGGCUUUGGGAAUUUCAGAGGGUUGUUUAGAGGAAUAGCCCAGGACUUGGCCGAGGUACUGAUCAGGCUGUGUGGGAACUUACUUCAUCCCACAGAUACCUAAAAUUCAAUUUUGUUGCAGUGUGAAUAAUCUGCAUUCAAUGUAGUACUUCUGUCCAUGAUCAGUAACUUUUCUAUGAGAGAAAGCUACAAACUUCCCUGGUCUAUCUAGAGAGCUACUAGCUUUUUGAGAUCACUCUUGACAGAAGCAUUUUGAGUUUAAACUGGGUUUGCCAAGAAAUCCGUAACAGGUAGGCGAGCUGGUGUUUUUCCAGCGUGCAGCAUUGACCAGCCACCUCAGUGUGCUCUGAGGAGAACUGGUGCUUGGCUUUCCUGGAAUGCUGGGCACCAGCACAGGGAAGGCUGCCCAGGAGGGAGCACAGACUCCCUGCACCAGCAUCUGUAUUUUUAUUGCAUCAUCACACCAAGUCUUGCUUGUAAGAAGUGAGAUGACAUGGUAUUAAAACCAUGGGCAGCCUGUGAUGGCGCUGGUGCCAUUGCAAGUAGAGGGAACUUGCUCUGCGGAAGUAUGGAGAAGGCCAGUGCGUUCACAGAGACAAGAAUAAACUGUUCUACAAUAGGAUUUGGCAACAAAUGCAAAGCAUUGUUCAGUUUGCUGUUGUUGGGGUUGCAGAGGAAGGCACAGUUUCUCAUAGAGAAGAUACAUUUCAGCUCAGUUUGCUGAUCCAGAUGGAAAACCGAGUGACAAACCUGUAUCUCAGCCUCUGGGCUUCUCCAAACAAAGUAGGCUAGUUCUUGUUUUCAGCUGCAUCAGAAGCUCUCUUUGAUGUUUAGCUUCAUAGGAAUAGAUUGAUUUCUCCUAUAGCCUGGAUGCAACUGGUUCUGCCAGUGAAAGCCCUGUGUGUGGGCACCUCCAUCCCACACCAGUUGUGGGAUGUUCUUCACUAGUGGGAACUCAGGUCAGCACAUUUGAGCAGAUGGGCCCAGAUAAAGAAUGACAGACCAAAUUUUGAAAUGUAUACACAGGGAAGAGCAGCUACUGUCUGCUUUAGUGGCAGGAGAUAUCAUGCUAGUCUGUCAUGAGUCUCAUGAAAUGAAUCACUCAAUGUAAACAAGGUUCAGCAUAACUCCAGUUCGAUCUAUCCAUGUAUCUGUCUUCACUCUUAGGGAAAGAAGAGGUGGUUGUUGUUGCUUGUUUUUUUUUGUUUUGUUUUGUUUUUUUUCUUCAGGAUCUCCAUUCAGCCUAGGUAGCAGAUCACUCUUACUCUUGCAUGGUGCUCUGCAGGACAAGCAUCAUUUUGAUGAAACUGCAAUUUUCCUUUACUGGAAACUGGAGGCUGUGUGAGAGUCGCCACCACCUCAAAGAAUUUCCAAUGGCCUGUGUUAUUUAAUGGCCUACCUGAAAUGCUCUGAGAGCUGCCUGGCACUGCCAGAGCCAGCAUCCAGCAUGGGCAGGGCCAAUGAACAGAGAGAAGGAGCAGUCAUGAUCAGGUGGUACUGUGACAGCCAGAAGAACUCAGGCUGAAAGUGCUCAGAACUGCGUGCUUUCCAGGUAAUCUGACUUCCCAUACCACAUGCUCCUGGAGAAGGCAUUGACUCCAACUGCUUCUGAGGAACUCCACUUACUCCUGCUUAGGGGACCUCAGCUCUGCGUGGGUUACAGAGGUUUUUCUCCAUGUGCCCUGUCUGGUUGCAGUUCUUCCACAGGGCUGCCCAUCCCCAGGUGAAGCCAGCCCUGCAUGCAUUGCAAAACUUUUCUUUGAAAAUGACUUCAUUGCACCAAACAGCAAUGACUAUGGUAUGAUGCUCAGCAUUUCCUGGAGGAGGAAAAAAAAAAAAAGACAUUGUCAUAGCCAGGGUCUUAUACAAUGCACUCCACAAAAGGAGGGAAGGAAGGUAAAUAUAGAAAAUCGAGGAGAUAUUCUGCAUUGAGAGACACAACAAAAGGAAAAUUGCCAGGAAGUGACUCCACAAUGGGGCCAAAUUCAGACUCCUUGGUCCUAAACACUCAUAUAGGCAACCCCCCUCCUCCAGCAGCUGAACAGGGAGUACCCAGCAUCCCUGGAAUCUGGGAAAGCCCUGGGCAGAAAUCAAUGAGGUGCUUCCCACUAAGCUCUUACUGAAUAUCUAAAACAAGACUUUAGGUUGCUUGUUGUAUGCUUUCAGUUUUAGUAGUGUGAGCCUAGCUAGGUCUGCAUAAAGCAUCUUUCUGUGCAGAUAUUAACAGACCUACUCAUAUUCACUGCACUCAGUGCCAGAGAAGAUGUUGAUACAACCCAAGCUCAUUUAUUCCCAUGCUGUCUGGUCUAGGCCAGUCAUCCUUGUAUUCUCUAAAGCCGAUGGAGAGAGAAAGAAGUAUUUCCAAAGGAUAAUUCAUCCCAUCCCAAGAUAGAUGGUGUUAGCAGGGGAAGGAGAGGUUAAAUUGCUCUUUGAAGAUCCCUCUAUGGAUUACCAGGAAGCAUGACUUAGACUAAACACCUAUUCACUAAACAAAGAAGGGAUGAAUCCCACCAUUACGGUCUAAACUGAUAAUACAAUACAGAUGUGUAGAGCAGUAAGUGACCAGAUGGUGGAUUUAUCACACUACAGUGUAGUUUCUUGUAAUAUAAAUACAGGCUGAUUAAAUAGUUGAUUUGCUCAACAGACCAUCUCAGCUUCAUUACAAGAGCUAGUCUGGAGCCAUUACAAUUCAACGCAUGGCCCUGUGUAUGUUUUUAGAAAAUAUGAUGGUCUGGAAAUAAAAUGUGCAAGCAGCAAUUUUUGGUCAA